ACUGCGAGUGAAGCGGCAAAAGCUCAAAUUUGAAAUCGGUGACGUCUAAACGCAUCGAGUUGUAAUUUGGAGGGACAGUUUCGGGGAGGACCACAUCGUAAGUUCCUUGGAACAGGACGUCAUAGAGGGUGAGAACCCCGUGCCGCGGUGUGAGUGCAACCCAUGUGAAACGUCUCCGACGAGUCGAGUUGUUUGGGAAUGCAGCUCAAAAUGGGUGGUAAAUUUCAUCUAAAGCUAAAUACUGGCGAGAGACCGAUAGCGCACAAGUAGAGUGAUCGAAAGAUGAAAAGCACUUUGAAAAGAGAGUCAAAAAGUACGUGAAAUUGUUGAAAGGGAAGCGCUUGCGACCAGACUCGAUCAUUGGUGAUCAGCCGGGCUUCGGUCCGGUGCACUUGCCAUUGACCGGGCCAGCAUCGGUUCCGACGGUGGGAUAAAAGUGGAAGGAAUGUGGCUCCCUCCGGGGAGUGUUAUAGCCUACCGCACAAUGCCGCCAGUUGGGACCGAGGACCGCGCUUCGGCUAGGAUGCUGGCGUAACGGUCCUAAGCGACCCGUCUUGAAACACGGACCAAGGAGUCUAACAUCUAUGCGAGUGUUCGGGUGGAAAACCCUUGCGCGGAAUGAAAGUGAACGGAGGUGUGAACCCUUUGCGGGGUGCAACAUCGACCGGUCCCGAUGUUUUUUUCGGAAGGAUCUGAGUGAGAGCAUAGCUGUUGGGACCCGAAAGAUGGUGAACUAUGCCUGAAUAGGGUGAAGCCAGAGGAAACUCUGGUGGAGGCUCGCAGCGGUUCUGACGUGCAAUCGAUCGUCAAUUUGGGUAUAGGGGCGAAAGACUAAUCGAACCAUCU
RNAcentral lists this ribosomal RNA (846 nucleotides) under Pyronemataceae sp. JW76a. RNAcentral describes it as "LSU rRNA". It matches the Rfam family "Eukaryotic large subunit ribosomal RNA", at positions 86 to 945 of the family's 3401-position model. The record is from RNAcentral. Lineage: Eukaryota; Fungi; Ascomycota; Pezizomycetes; Pezizales; Pyronemataceae.